Molecule: long non-coding RNA, 999 nt
Organism: Stegostoma tigrinum
Lineage: Eukaryota; Metazoa; Chordata; Chondrichthyes; Orectolobiformes; Stegostomatidae
Exons: 4
Source: RefSeq, a predicted model, not a curated record
CCGCAAAGCCUUCUCCUCGGGGCUAAGGUGAGUGAGCCGCUGCCUUUUCCUAUGGACGUGGCCGGCCGCCGGCUGAACCGGGGACGAGUCGUGUUGCGAGCCGCUCCGGGGCGGGUACACCACCGAGAUGUGUCGACUGAUCUCCAGGCCGUUCUGCUUCCCACCCCCGGGGAUCAGCAGCACCUUGGCGGACCCGGCGCUGUUCAUCGCCACCAUCACGCCGUUACAAUGUAUCGGAGCCACUUGAACACUGAUACCGCCAGCACUGGGGUGUCACAUGAACCUGCAGGAGGAAGUGCGUUUACAUUGGGUGCGUUCGCUCCCUCCGACACACAGUCUGUUCAGAAACGGCUCUCGGGGGGUCAAUUUCAACCAUCGUGUUUAAAUAUUAUUGGCUGAGCAGCCUGUGCAUCACUGAACAGACGCAGUCCUAUUGGGUCACACUGGCUUCACUGACACCAGGCUGUUCCCCAGUGAGGAAGGUUGGCUGAUCAGAGGAACGAAAGCAAAACACUACAUGGAGGAUGAGAGCAGCGCUGGCUAGGCCGGCAUUUAUUUCCCACCCGUAAUUACCCACAGUGCUGUUAAGAGUCAACCACAUUGCUGUGGGUCUGGAGUCACAUGUAGGCCAGCGCAGAUAAUUAAAGAGAAGCUUCCGUCUCCAUUCUUCUCCUCUUCUGAAUAAUUUGGCUUUUGGUUCCCAGACACACAGCUGCCGAAAAAAAUAAUCAAAGAUCUGUGAAUUUUCAAUAUUAGCUUGCCGAAACUGACCAUACCCACGAAACCAACAAAUCAACAGUUUAUUCUCCAGCAUCUGCAGUUCCCAUUAUCUCUAUCCCCAAAUCAACAGUGACGUCUGGUUCAACCAAUCGACCUCAAAGAGAACAAAAGGACUGCAAAAUGAAUAUUCUUUUAUCUUGCUAUGUAUUGGACAAUAUUCUCCUCUAACUUUGUAUAUGUACGCAGGAAAGUUGUCUGCUUCGACCGGUGUUUCAUUAU